AAGGCCAGGCUGAAGGACUUUGCCGGAUUAGCUGGAGAGGUGGUGCAUGGCCGUCGUCAGUUCGUACUGUGAAGCAUCCUGUUAAGUCAGGCAACGAGCGAGACCCACGCCCACAGUUGCCAGCGUACUCUCCGGAGUGACGGGUACACUGUGGGGGACCGCCGCUGCUAAAGCGGAGGAAGGAAUGGGCAACGGUAGGUCAGUAUGCCCCGAAUAUCCCGGGCUACACGCGAGCUACAAUGGUUGGUACAAUGGGUAUCUACCCGAAAGGGGACGGAAAUCUCCUAAAACCAAUCUUAGUUCGGAUUGAGGGCUGCAACUCGCCCUCAUGAAGCUGGAAUCCGUAGUAAUCGCGUUUCAACAGAACGCGGUGAAUACGUCCCUGCUCCUU
RNAcentral lists this ribosomal RNA (391 nucleotides) under uncultured Methanosaeta sp. RNAcentral's name for it is "bacterial SSU rRNA". It matches the Rfam family "Archaeal small subunit ribosomal RNA", at positions 950 to 1338 of the family's 1478-position model. The record is from RNAcentral. Lineage: Archaea; Methanobacteriati; Methanobacteriota; Methanomicrobia; Methanotrichales; Methanotrichaceae.